AAAUUGAAGAGUUUGAUCAUGGCUCAGAUUGAACGCUGGCGGCAGGCCUAACACAUGCAAGUCGGGCGGUAACACAGGGAGCUUGCUCCUGGGUGACGAGCGGCGGACGGGUGAGUAAUGUCUGGGAAACUGCCUGAUGGAGGGGGAUAACUACUGGAAACGGUAGCUAAUACCGCAUAAUGUCGCAAGACCAAAGAGGGGGACCUUCGGGCCUCUUGCCAUCAGAUGUGCCCAGAUGGGAUUAGCUAGUAGGUGGGGUAAUGGCUCACCUAGGCGACGAUCCCUAGCUGGUCUGAGAGGAUGACCAGCCACACUGGAACUGAGACACGGUCCAGACUCCUACGGGAGGCAGCAGUGGGGAAUAUUGCACAAUGGGCGCAAGCCUGAUGCAGCCAUGCCGCGUGUAUGAAGAAGGCCUUCGGGUUGUAAAGUACUUUCAGCGAGGAGGAAGGCAUUAAGGUUAAUAACCUUGGUGAUUGACGUUACUCGCAGAAGAAGCACCGGCUAACUCCGUGCCAGCAGCCGCGGUAAUACGGAGGGUGCAAGCGUUAAUCGGAAUUACUGGGCGUAAAGCGCACGCAGGCGGUCUGUCAAGUCGGAUGUGAAAUCCCCGGGCUCAACCUGGGAACUGCAUUCGAAACUGGCAGGCUAGAGUCUUGUAGAGGGGGGUAGAAUUCCAGGUGUAGCGGUGAAAUGCGUAGAGAUCUGGAGGAAUACCGGUGGCGAAGGCGGCCCCCUGGACAAAGACUGACGCUCAGGUGCGAAAGCGUGGGGAGCAAACAGGAUUAGAUACCCUGGUAGUCCACGCCGUAAACGAUGUCGACUUGGAGGCUGUUCCCUUGAGGAGUGGCUUCCGGAGCUAACGCGUUAAGUCGACCGCCUGGGGAGUACGGCCGCAAGGUUAAAACUCAAAUGAAUUGACGGGGGCCCGCACAAGCGGUGGAGCAUGUGGUUUAAUUCGAUGCAACGCGAAGAACCUUACCUACUCUUGACAUCCAGAGAACUUAGCAGAGAUGCUUUGGUGCCUUCGGGAACUCUGAGACAGGUGCUGCAUGGCUGUCGUCAGCUCGUGUUGUGAAAUGUUGGGUUAAGUCCNCGGGAACUCAAAGGAGACUGCCAGUGAUAAACUGGAGGAAGGUGGGGAUGACGUCAAGUCAUCAUGGCCCUUACGAGUAGGGCUACACACGUGCUACAAUGGCGCAUACAAAGAGAAGCGACCUCGCGAGAGCAAGCGGACCUCAUAAAGUGCGUCGUAGUCCGGAUUGGAGUCUGCAACUCGACUCCAUGAAGUCGGAAUCGCUAGUAAUCGUAGAUCAGAAUGCUACGGUGAAUACGUUCCCGGGCCUUGUACACACCGCCCGUCACACCAUGGGAGUGGGUUGCAAAAGAAGUAGGUAGCUUAACCUUCGGGAGGGCGCUUACCACUUUGUGAUUCAUGACUGGGGUGAAGUCGUAACAAGGUAACCGUAGGGGAACCUGCGGUUGGAUCACCUCCUUA
RNAcentral lists this ribosomal RNA (1498 nucleotides) under Enterobacter sp. JGM127. RNAcentral's name for it is "bacterial SSU rRNA". It matches the Rfam family "Bacterial small subunit ribosomal RNA". The record is from RNAcentral. Lineage: Bacteria; Pseudomonadati; Pseudomonadota; Gammaproteobacteria; Enterobacterales; Enterobacteriaceae.